AAAAAUCUAAAACAAAAAAUGAUGGAAUGAAUUAGUAAAGUGAUAAUGUGGAAUUGUUGUUAUAGAAAUGAGAGAAUGGAGGUUGCAAGUUGUAACACACAACCCCCUCAGUAAGAAAUUCCCUUUAAAAAUGGUUGAAGCAUGGGGAGGUGUUGUAAUAUAAGUCUAAACAAAUUAAGAGAAAUGGAACACUCGCCACAUGAAAAUGCAAGUAUAUUAGAGUGAGAAUUUGACCAAGGUUUGUUUGAACUUUAUUUUUCUUUGGAAUUUAUUUUAAUCAAAUUUCAUAUAUUAUUCAAUUAUAUUUGUUUAACACAAAGUGUUGUGUUAUAGUAUAUACUGGAAACCAGAGUUUACACAAGAGAACUAGAGACUCUCAAGAGAGAUCAGGAUUCAGGAAUGCAAUUAGUGGAAGCUAUUCUAUGUAAUUAUUAUUCUUCCACACUUCUAAUUUUAGUUUAAUUAAUAUUUAAAAUCAUGCAUGCUGAGGGAUAUGAAUGUAUGUCACUAUUUAAAAAUUUAUAAAGAAGUUAUAUAUAUAAUAUAAAGUUUGGGUAAAUGGAAAUUAAUUUUGAUUGUUAAAUAUGAGUGUUG
RNAcentral lists this long non-coding RNA (594 nucleotides) under Cicer arietinum (chickpea). Its description in RNAcentral is "long non-coding RNA (CARI_LNC003789)". The record is from RNAcentral. Lineage: Eukaryota; Viridiplantae; Streptophyta; Magnoliopsida; Fabales; Fabaceae.